Brassica rapa (field mustard) is the source of this 507-nucleotide long non-coding RNA. RefSeq lists it as uncharacterized. The record is from RefSeq and is a predicted model, not a curated record. Lineage: Eukaryota; Viridiplantae; Streptophyta; Magnoliopsida; Brassicales; Brassicaceae.
AUCCAAACACUGUCUCCUCUCUUGAUGACUACAACCAGCCUCUCAGUGACUUUCUCUCCUAACUUCCCCUUUACCAAAAGGUCAUUUUUGGUGAGCCAUAGCGUUGGAGAAGGGAACAUGAUGGCUGUCAUGUGAGACUUCCCUUCCCAACAAGCAUGAUGAUGAAACCUGAAUAUGUCCGGGACAAGUAUUAUUACAACGAGAACGAGAGCACCAUAGAGAGAAAAGCAAUUCCUUUUGGCCAAAGAUAUAUAGAAAGAAGGAGAGGUCUCUCUCCAUCAUGUGGACAAUGUCGCUAAGUAAAUAAAGAUGAGUUUGAGUGUCUUAAUUUUAGCAGAGUUGUUGAACAAACAACAUGUAUCUAACAAAGCUAAGUAAACUAAGAUUGUCAAGUCUUGAAACUUUCCUACCCAACCAGCUGGAGAAAAUGAUGCUAUGAAGUUUAAGUCCACAAAUAGACAAAUUACAGAAACUUACUAAAUAAAGAGAGAGAGGGAAACCUGAGAG